RNAcentral lists this long non-coding RNA (685 nucleotides) under Ananas comosus (pineapple). Its description in RNAcentral is "long non-coding RNA (ACOM_LNC014390)". Lineage: Eukaryota; Viridiplantae; Streptophyta; Magnoliopsida; Poales; Bromeliaceae. The record is from RNAcentral.
GGGGGCGUUUGGAUUGACGAAUUUGUAGAUUCAACGUAAGUCAAGUGUAGUGGUGUUUGAGUUUCCCUGAAGUGUGAUUAUUUUUCUGUUGUUUGUUUUGACGUAACUCGUACCACUGAAAGUUAAAUUCAAUCACUUCUGCUGUUUGUUUUGAUGUAACUUGGUGCUGGUAAAAUUAGUUUUUUGAGUUCCGUUGUUUGUUUUGAUGUAAGUAAGUGGAUCCCAUUAUCUCCUAAAUAUAGUAAUAAAUUUAUCACUAUAAAAUUUAACCUAUUAUAUAAUUAAAUUUUUUAUUAUUAUUUAAAGAUAAUCUUAAUUUAUUAUAAAUAAGGUAAUUCUAACCCAUUAUAAAGAAAGUAGAGUUUAGGUUUUACUGUUUAAUAAAUUGUUUAGAGAAGGUUGAGUGUGGUGGAAGUCGAGUUCGGUACUUUAGAGCCGGAAGUCGAGAGUAGGUGAAGUGGAGCUCUAACGUAACUUGAGUUACAUAAUAUUUUUCACUUACACCAAAACAAAUAACGGAAGUGAUGGAACUUGAGUUCCAUCACUCCACUUACACCAAAACAAACGGGCCCCACUGGUGUUUGGUCUCUAAAACUCAAAUCACAAAGUCUUAGUUCAACCAAUAACAGUUCCUAUUUAGUGUUGUUUCUAAAAUAACUUCUCUGCACUCCAAAAGACGUACGUA